CAAAGGAGCACGGGGGGACUCCAAACACCGUCUAUUCCCCUGCGUGAUGGAACUGUGACGAGACGG
Molecule: small nucleolar RNA, 66 nt
Filed under: Leishmania donovani
Lineage: Eukaryota; Euglenozoa; Kinetoplastea; Trypanosomatida; Trypanosomatidae
Description: H/ACA box snoRNA LD36Cs3H3
Source: RNAcentral